CUUUUUUCGCAUUUUGCCUUGUUAAGAGCUCCGCAAUGGCUGACCUGGGAAUUGAGUUUUAAUUAAUGGAGGGAAAUUCUUCUCGUCCGCCCCAUAAUGAGAGAAGACAGAGGUGAGAACAGCUCAAUAGGAGAGAUAACCAGUCUUUGAUCCAAACGGUCAUGCAGAACCUUUUACUUGCUGCCUCGUCAGAAUGUGUACUGUUAAGCUGCACACUUUUAAAUCUCUAAAAUAUCUUCAAAAGGGACAUUUCAGAUCAUUUGUAUUGAGAACUAUAAUGUAGAACCAGACCAGUGUGUCCCUUUGUUAAUAAUACACUUGAUAGCAAACUGUCUGCCCUUUGAGUGCCUUGUUUCCAGAUCACAGCCUGCAGACUUUUACAAUAUAAUAAUUGACUUCUAACACUCAGUUACGCACAAACAGCCGGCCAGCUAUACAACAUCUUCACACACAUUCAAAAUAUUAAACUGUCUGAGUGCCAUUUCUGAAUCCCCCACUAACAAGACCCAUCUCAACUUAAGACGUCUUGUUAAAUUGAGACCUUGUUCCCCAGUGGACUUAAAUGUAAAACAUAUCUCUACCCCUGACAAGCAAUGUUAAUCCAUUUAGUGUAACGAACUAACAUGUCCCUAAUUAAAAUAUGCCUUUUAAUGAUACAUACUGACAUCUUGGAAAACACUGUCACGCUUCCCUCCUUUAAUACAGGAAUAUGUUAAUUGCCUCAGUAACACUGGUGUUCAAAUCCCAAGGCUGCCGCCACAUCCUGAGGGAGUUUGUUGGUUAAAGCCCCUGCGUCCCCCCCAAAAAAAGGGGGCCCAUUUAACUGUUUCUUGAAGUCUGUUUUGGCCAGCAGAAGUGGCCUGACACCGUGGAUUUCCAUUCAUUUACAGCCAUUCAAUUUGGCAUUUGGGAGUCUUACCCUACACCCCUUCAGUCCAGCACUUCACCUGUAGGCGCUGCCGGGCAGACAGAGAGCGUCCCGCUUCCACCUCAUCCCAUGGCAGCUCAUUUAAAACACAUCAAGCUGAUUGCUGGGUUUCUGCACUGACAAGGCCCAGCAUUUGUUCCAUCAGCCUGCAGGGUCGCAGACCACACUGAGGAGCAGUGGGGAGUCCUGCUCAGCACCUGCAGCUCUCGCGAGGUGGCCCGCUAGCAAAGAAAGGCUUUGGCCACGGCCCAAAUAUCUGCCUGCACCUUCUGUGCAAACGCGGCAGCCUCAGGAAACCAGGAGGCAGCAAUAUUGUGGAACAAAUGUCCCCUAAUCUCAACCGGCUGGUCUGGGGUCCUAGGUGGGGCCUCCUCCUUAGAGUUUGACCCUGGACCGUGGUCACGCAGGGCGGCGCCACUGGUGACUAAACAGCACGCACCUGCAGAGGUGUCACUCACAGCGACGUCGGGUUCCAUCAGCUCCACCUGAGCUGGAAUUACUACUAGUACUACAGAAGGAAUGGAGUUCAUAUUUUUACUUUUAGAUCAUAUUGUAGAUCAAGUCAAAAUUCACAACAAUGACAAUAAUCACCUGCCAAACAUGUUGCACUUAAUAA
Long non-coding RNA from Gasterosteus aculeatus aculeatus (three-spined stickleback), 1544 nucleotides. The record is from Ensembl. Lineage: Eukaryota; Metazoa; Chordata; Actinopteri; Perciformes; Gasterosteidae.